GCCGAUGUAGCUCAGUUGGUAGAGCAAUUGCUUCGUAAGCAAUUAGUCAGAGGUUCAAGUCCUCUCAUCGGCU
This 73-nucleotide transfer RNA is filed under the name Endomicrobium sp. RNAcentral's name for it is "tRNA-Thr". It matches the Rfam family "tRNA". From Rfam's summary of the family: Transfer RNA (tRNA) molecules are approximately 80 nucleotides in length. The record is from RNAcentral. Lineage: Bacteria; Pseudomonadati; Elusimicrobiota; Endomicrobiia; Endomicrobiales; Endomicrobiaceae.